RNAcentral lists this ribosomal RNA (397 nucleotides) under uncultured Rozellomycota. Its description in RNAcentral is "SSU rRNA". It matches the Rfam family "Eukaryotic small subunit ribosomal RNA", at positions 585 to 972 of the family's 1831-position model. The record is from RNAcentral. Lineage: Eukaryota; Fungi; Rozellomycota.
CCAGCUCCAAUAGCGUAUAUUAAAGUUGUUGCAGUUAAAACGCUCGUAGUUGAAUUUUGGUCUGUGAUCGUAUGGGUUGUCGAAAGACAGUUUGUGCGAAGCAGGCAAUUUUAUCUGCCGCAGUGGACCUGUUCGACACUUAACUGGGUUGGAUGGGGAUUUGAAGCUGCGGCCGUUUACUUUGAAAAAAUUAGAGUGUUCAAAGCAGGCUUUAUAGCUGUGAAUAUUUUAGCAUGGAAUAAUGAAAUACGACUUUGGUUGUGUUUUGUUGGUUUUAAUGGCCAAAGUAAUGAUUAAAAGGGACAGUUAGGGGCAUUUGUAUUUAGCUGUCAGAGGUGAAAUUCUUGGAUUUGCUAAAGACAAACUAGUGCGAAAGCAUCUGCCAGGGAUGUUUUCA